Molecule: non-coding RNA, 69 nt
Organism: Podarcis lilfordi (Lilford's wall lizard)
Lineage: Eukaryota; Metazoa; Chordata; Lepidosauria; Squamata; Lacertidae
Source: the annotation of a GenBank genome assembly
UCCCUGGGAUAGCUCAGUCGGUAGAGCAUGAGACUCUCAGGGUUGUGGGUUUGAGCCCCAUGUUGGAAG